Molecule: ribosomal RNA, 253 nt
Filed under: uncultured bacterium
Lineage: Bacteria
Description: partial 16S ribosomal RNA
Rfam family: Bacterial small subunit ribosomal RNA
Source: RNAcentral
UACGUAGGGUGCAAGCGUUGUUCGGAAUCAUUGGGCGUAAAGCGCGUGUAGGCGGUAAGCUAAGUUUGGUGUGAAAGCCCGGGGCUUAACCUCGGAAGGGCACUGGAUACUGGCUUACUAGAGGACGGGAGAGGAUGGUGGAAUUCCUGGUGUAGGGGUGAAAUCCGUAGAUAUCAGGAGGAACAUCUGUAGCGAAGGCGGCCAUCUGGUCCGUUUCUGACGCUGAGACGCGAAAGCGUGGGUAGCAAACAGG